Molecule: ribosomal RNA, 549 nt
Filed under: Gaeumannomyces tritici
Lineage: Eukaryota; Fungi; Ascomycota; Sordariomycetes; Magnaporthales; Magnaporthaceae
Description: eukaryotic LSU rRNA
Rfam family: 5.8S ribosomal RNA (bases 174-327)
Source: RNAcentral
UUCCGUAGGUGAACCUGCGGAGGGAUCAUUACAGAGUUGAAAAACUCCAACCCCUGUGAACAUACCUUUACUGUUGCUUCGGCGGACGAUGGCCCCCCCCGGGGGCCGGACGCCGCCGGAGGUUACAAACCCUGAAUUUUAGUGUAUCUCUGAGUAUAAAACCAAAUAAUUAAAACUUUCAACAACGGAUCUCUUGGUUCUGGCAUCGAUGAAGAACGCAGCGAAAUGCGAUAAGUAAUGUGAAUUGCAGAAUUCAGUGAAUCAUCGAAUCUUUGAACGCACAUUGCGCCCGCCGGUAUUCCGGCGGGCAUGCCUGUCCGAGCGUCAUUUCACCACUCAAGCCCAGCUUGGUGUUGGGGCACCCGGCCGCCCGGCGGUCGGGGCCCCCAAGAACAUCGGCGGUCUCGCCAGGACCCUGAACGCAGUAACUCGCGGUAAAACGCGCUUCGUUCGGAGGCUUCCCGGCGGGCUCCAGCCGCUAAACCCCCUAAACUUCUUAGGUUGACCUCGGAUCAGGUAGGAAUACCCGCUGAACUUAAGCAUAUCAAU